This 458-nucleotide ribosomal RNA is filed under the name uncultured microorganism. RNAcentral's name for it is "bacterial SSU rRNA". It matches the Rfam family "Bacterial small subunit ribosomal RNA", at positions 346 to 795 of the family's 1533-position model. The record is from RNAcentral.
GGGCUGCAGUGAGGAAUCUUGCGCAAUGGGGGAAACCCUGACGCAGCAACGCCGCGUGAGUGAGGAAGGUCUUCGGAUCGUAAAGCUCUGUCAGUUGGGAAGAAACGCAUGAGAGCGAAUACCUCUCAUGCUUGACGGUACCAACAGAGGAAGCACCGGCUAACUCCGUGCCAGCAGCCGCGGUAAUACGGAGGGUGCAAGCGUUGUUCGGAAUUAUUGGGCGUAAAGAGCGUGUAGGCGGCCGGAUAUGUCAGAUGUGAAAGCCCAGGGCUUAACCUUGGAAUUGCAUUCGAAACUGCAUGGCUAGAGUUUGGUAGAGGCUAGCGGAAUUCCAGGUGUAGCGGUGAAAUGCGUAGAUAUCUGGAGGAACAUCAGUGGCGAAGGCGGCUGGCUGGACCAAAACUGACGCUGAGGUGCGAAAGCGUGGGGAGCAAACAGGAUUAGAUACCCGUGUAGUC